Molecule: long non-coding RNA, 682 nt
Organism: Homo sapiens (human)
Lineage: Eukaryota; Metazoa; Chordata; Mammalia; Primates; Hominidae
Gene: SATB1-AS1
Product: SATB1 antisense RNA 1
Source: Ensembl
AGCCUGAACUUUCUCAUCCAACACCCGUUCAAGUCGGAGGAUGCUGAUUAAUUCAUGAUGGAAAGGUAUCAAUUUCACAGCCCAGACCUCUACAUUCUUGAAAUGCUCUUCUCAUGGGAGACAUUAAAUAAGCUUUGAAUUAACUUAAGCCCUUAAGUAAAAGUGCCAUCAAAUGAUUUCUCAGAAAUUAUAAAGAAACAAAAGGACCAUAAACAAGAUAAGGUGGCAUGAGGAAACAUUACAAGUACCUUUCAGAGCUGACUGGCAAAGAAACUCCUGAGGUGACGGGGACUUAUCUUCCUCAGUUCUCUGUGAUGAACUUUUGUAGAGCCAUACGAAAGGAGGUUUUUAGCUCUCACCUGUGGUCUUUCUUCAUCAUGCACCUCCUAGAUUCAAAAGUUCAGCAGGGACAUGUCAAGCUAUAUAAAUAAAAACAAACUAAGAAAAAAUGUAACAUUCCAUACCUUAAAACGCAACCUUAAUAACGUGAAAGACCCUGAAGGACUUGAGACGUGAAGAUUUUCUACCACGGUCUUUGCCUGUAUUAUUUCUGACAGCUGUUCCUUUCUACUCCCUCUUGCACACAUCUUUAGUUACUCCCUGUUCUCCAUCCCUCUGAUAAAAUCUAGAGUUCCCCCCUCAAAUUAGAAAAUUAAAAAAAAUUAAAAAUCUAAAAUUAAAA